This 3773-nucleotide long non-coding RNA is filed under the name Ananas comosus (pineapple). Its description in RNAcentral is "long non-coding RNA (ACOM_LNC015994)". The record is from RNAcentral. Lineage: Eukaryota; Viridiplantae; Streptophyta; Magnoliopsida; Poales; Bromeliaceae.
AUGCAUGGACAUUUCAUUUAAGGGUGCGUUUGUUUCGCGCUUUCUUUUUAAGAUUUAUAGUAAUCUAAUAGAAAUAAAAAAAAUAUGACGGUGUUCGACUAAACGUACUAAAUAAUCUAGGUGGUAAUAUUAGAUUUACUUAGAAAUGAGAUUCAUCCCAAAAUACUAAUCUCAUUCCUUUGAGGGAGGGUGGGUAUCCUCAUAUUAAUGAAUUGGGAUAAUCAUAAUAUGUUUAAUUUCUUUCUUUCUCUCUAUCCGCCACCUAGUUGGUAUUAUUUUUCUUUACACUCUAAUCUCAUAUCUCUCUCUAAACUUUUUUUUUUUCUCUCUAAACUUCAACUCUUUUUCUCUCUCUAAACUAAGCUCUCUCUCCCCCUCUUUUUCUAAAAUCUCAACUCUCUCACUCCCUUUAAUCUCAACUCUAUUUCUCUUCUUAUUUCUUUAAUUAUGCUCUCUCUCUCUAACCUAUGUUCUCUUUCUCUCUUUUUUUAAAAAGAUGUUGAAAUUUUUGGCGGCAUUAUCUAAAAUUAAUUAAAGAAAUAAAUAAAUUAAUUGUAUAUUUUUUGUAAACUUAAAUAACAUAACUAAAUAAUAUAACCGUGCGAACCAAACACAGGAAUGCUACAUUCUUAGUAAUAGGAUGAAUAAGAAUAAGAUUCUCGGACAUCUUUUUAUUGCUAGUAAUCUUUCAUAGUACGAACCAAACGCACCUUAAGGGUCAUUUGAUUGUAUAUAGUUGCAACUGUACUGCAACUAUAACUAUAUAUAAAUACAAAUUUGAUAUUUGAUUUGAUAUAUUUAAUUUUAACUGCUGCAAUAGCAACUAGCAAUAGUAACUACUGGAGGAGAUCCAAUUAUAGCAGUUGGAAUUACGCUCAAAUUGACCGCAGUUCCCACUGCAGCAAUUGGAGAGAGUAAAUUUAAGCAAAAAAUAAACUUACCUUUCUAAUUAUUUUUUUAACAAAAAAUAUUUUUUCUUUUUUACAUUAGAGGUAAUCUCACCAUCAUAUAUAUAAAAUAUUUUUAAACUGCAAGCAACCAAACAAAUUAUUUGUAAUUGCAACGUUUUCUACUACAUCCAACCAAAUAGAAUGCAUGUAGUUGCAAUUGCUACAUUUCAAUUGCAUGUAUCUCCAAAUACAUUGUAUUUCUAAUUACAUCUAACCAAACGGUCUCUCACUACAACAAAAACGGUCUAUAGUGUCACUUUUAAAUGUCGGUAUAAGUCAAAAAAAGUGCUACUAGCAAAAUUACCAACACUUUUAAAAAGUGUUGCUAUAUAUGAGGUCGCUAGGUAUAUAGUGACAUUAAAGAGUGUUGCUAUAAUCUAAAAAAGUGCUGCUAAUUUACCAACAUUUAUUUAAGCAUUUAGCAACCGCUGGAACUCUACCUCGUUGGCUGCGGUGGCAGAGGAGGACGAGAGGAAGGGAUCUACGUCUAGGAUUUCAGUCAAUUGAGUGAGGGGGGAAGGGGAAAUAAUAAUUGAUUUUUCUUUUCUUUUUCUUUUCUUUUUCUUUUCUGUUUAUAAUAGGGCCGAAUGGACUAGGUGGGGUGGGUUGAGUAGAGUAUCCUUUUAUUUUAGUUGGAUUGGACUUUAUAUUUAGGCAUUAGUAGGUUUUUUUUUUUAAGUUUUGGCAUAAAUGUGACACUUACACAAAAGUGUCCCAAACAUGUGUCCCUAUAACCUAAUUCUAUUGUAGUGUCUCAGGAGUCGUUUGGUAAUUAGAUGUAGCUGUAAAUACAGUGUAGUACUUAAAAAUACAUGCAGUUGAAAAUACAUCAGUUAUAAUUACACACAGUUUGUUUGAUUUUAUAUAAAUGCAACUGUUGUAGUUGCAUUUUUUCUAUUUGGCAAUAUAAAGUUGAUUGUUGUAUUUGUGAAUCUCGUCACCUUCAAAUAGAGUUGUGAGAUUAUCUUCACUAUACAUAAAAUAAUUGUAUAACUUUAUUAAUCCUUUAAACUUACUAUAUAUCCAUAAAUAAAGAAUUGGAUAUAUGUAAUGUUUUUAUAUUUUUCAAUAAUUCUUCAACUUAUCAAUCGACACAUUUAAAAUUUUCAAUAUAUUUAAUUUUACUAUGUAAAUCCAACUUUACAAAUUUAAAUAAUUCUCUCAUUUUUUAUCAAAUUUAAUAAUUAUAAUUAAUUAAAACUUAUUAAAUUAACAUACACAAUCAUAUUCUAUAAAAAAAUUUUAAAAAACUAUUUUUUAUAUUUAAAUAAAACUAAUUUUAAAAAAAAUUAAUUUUUUUACACAAACCUUGUAUUGGUAAAAACUUUUCUUAGUAGGAAUUUAUUACAAGUAUAUAUAUAUAUAUAUAUAUAAUUGAGCUUCUAUGCUUUUAAAAGUACCAAGACAAUGGUGCUUGUAAAUUUUUAGUCUUUGGAUUAAGGAAUGUGUGGUUAGGAUGAUAUGGGCCCCCUAGGGUUAAGUACUUAAGUGAGUGGUUGGUUGAAUAGUAUAAUCUAACGGGUGUAAAUGGUCAACAGUCCAGAUUUAACGGCUAAAAACCUACAAGCACGAAGUGGUUGGUCAUUUUAAAAGCACCAUAACCGGACUAUAUAUAUAUAGAGUCCGGCUAUGGUGCUUGUAAAAGCACAAGCACUUGGUGCUUUUAAAUUUUUUUUACCAUUAGAUCUAUAUUUUUGAUCAUUUUUAUCCGUUAGAUUAUACUAUUUAACCAACCACCCAUUCAACCCUAGGAGGCCCACAUCAUUCUAACCGCACAUCCCUUAAUCCAAGGGCCGAAAAUAUACAAGCACCAAUGAUUUGGUACUUUUAAAAGCAUAGGAGCUCAAUUAUAUAUAUAUAUAUAUAUAUAUAUAUAUAUAUAUAUAUANAUGUCGGACCCCUAGGGUUGAGUGAGUUGUUGGUUUAAUAGUAUAAUCUAACGGGUGAAAAUAGUCAAAGGGUUAAAUCUAACGGCGGAAAACUUGAUAGCGCCAAAUGCAUGGUGCUAUCGAUAGUAUCCCAGCUGGACUCUAUAUAUAUAUAUAUAUAUAUAUAUAAUUUAGUUUUCAAAUACUUUUAAUAAUGUAGAUCAGGUCUAACGGAGCCGAUCAUCGAUUUGAAAGCUGCAUCAUUAAAAACAACUUGGUAGCACGGAGGCCAAUUUCAUAAUUUUUCGACAUCAAUUACUAAUCAAACAAGUAGUUUAAAAAUGAACGGUUGAAAAUAAAAAUCUCAUAAAACAUGAUAAUAAAAGACUUGAAUUCAAUAUCAGAGAUACUGAUCUUACUUUAAAUAGUCAAAAGAAUUUUCUAUAAAAAUUUCAUCAGAUUUGAAUUGUUUUACACCGUUAAAUUCACAAACGCAUCACAUCGACCAUUAAAAUUGUCAAUUUUGAGACCUUUUGAUCACCAGUCAAAUGAUGUCGAAAAAUUAUAAAAUUUAGUUUCCAAAUACUAUUAAUAGUGUAGAUUAAGUCUAACGGAGCCGAUCGUCAAUUUGAAAGCUGCAUCAUUGAAAAGAACUUGGUAGUACGGAAACCUCCGUGCUAUCGAUAAUAUACCAGCCUAGCUAUAUAUAUAUAUAUAAUUUAGCUAUUGAUUUAUUUAUUAUUGUUAAUUUGUGUGUGAUCCUAAUUCUCACCAACUGCUGUAAUUGAAACUACAGUCAAUUUGGGUAUAGUUCCAAUUACAGUAUUUUGAUAUUCUUACACAGUUGCAAUUGCAAUAAUUAGACUCAACUGCACUAAAUCAAAUACAAAAAUUAAAAUUAUAUGUAUUUUCAACUGUACUAUAGUUGUAAAUACGUGUAACGAAACGGACCCUU